Molecule: long non-coding RNA, 655 nt
Organism: Mandrillus leucophaeus (drill)
Lineage: Eukaryota; Metazoa; Chordata; Mammalia; Primates; Cercopithecidae
Exons: 2
Source: RefSeq, a predicted model, not a curated record
ACAGCCACAUGCCUCUUCUAGAGAAUCCCUUGAGAGCUCAGCUCCUCACCAUGGACUGGACCUGGAGGAUCAUCUUGGUGGCAGCAGCCACAGGUGCCCACUCUCAGGCCCAGCUGGUGCAGUCUGGGGCUGAGGUGAAGAAGCCUCUAUCCUCAGUGAAGAUCUCCUUCAAGGCUUCUGGAUACACCUUCACCAACAACUUUAUGCACUGGGUGUGACAGGCCCCUGGACAAGGACUUGAGUGGAUGGGAUGGAUGAACACUGGCAAUGGUAACACAAAAUAUGUACAGAAGUUCCAGGGCAGAGUCACCAUAACCAGGGACACGUCCAUGAGCACAGUCUACAUGGAGCUAAGCAGCCUGGGAUCUGAGGACACGGCCGUGUAUUACUGUGCAAGAGACACAGUGGGAACACCCACAUCCUCAGAGUGUCAGAAACCCCAGGAAGGAGGCAACUGCGCGGGCAUGGAGGAGAUGACAAAGAUUAUUAGAUUAAAACUUUCUUAGAAAAUAACAUUAAGUCAUUAAAGAAAAGGAACAAUAUAAAUGUGAUUUGAUAAAUCUUAAUUCUUUGAAAGAUUUUUCAUACACCAUUCAUUAUGUAAACAAAUUUCAGGGAUUGGAGAAUGAAUUGAAUUAAUGUAACUGAUAUAGAA